This 207-nucleotide ribosomal RNA is filed under the name uncultured bacterium. RNAcentral describes it as "partial 16S ribosomal RNA". It matches the Rfam family "Bacterial small subunit ribosomal RNA", at positions 568 to 774 of the family's 1533-position model. The record is from RNAcentral.
CGCGCAGGCGGCCAGGUAAGUCGAAUGUGAAAGCCCCCGGCUCAACUGGGGAGGGUCAUUCGAUACUGCUUGGCUUGAAGGUAGGAGAGGGAGGCGGAAUUUCAGGUGUAGUGGUGAAAUGCGUAGAUAUCUGAAGGAACACCAGUGGCGAAGGCGGCUUUCUGGCCUAUUCUUGACGCUGAGGCGCGAAAGCUAGGGGAGCGAACG